AUGGACGUUAAGACGGCUUUCCUCAAUGGAGAGUUGAAGGAGGAAAUUUACAUGGAUCAGCCAGAUGGUUUUGUAGUACCUGGUCAGGAAGGAAAGGAUUUCUUAUCUCGCUGUUUUGAGAUGAAGGAUCUAGGAGUAGCUGAUGUUAUCUUAAACAUCAAGCUGUUGAGAGAUGAGAAUGGUGGGAUCACACUGCUUCGGUCUCAUUAUGUGGAAAAGUUCUUGAGUCGUUUUGGGUAUAGCGACUGCACGCCUUCUCCAACUCCAUAUGAUGCUAGUCUGAGUCGGUUUGUGUCAAAACCGGGAGAUGAUCAUUGGCAUGCGCUUGAGAGAGUUACGCGCUAUUUGAAAGGCACCGCGAGCUAUGGGAUUCACUACACCGGGUAUCCAAGGGUACUCGAGGGUUAUAGUGACUCAAACUGGAUAUCUGAUGCUGAUGAGAUUAAGGCCACAAGUGGUUAUGUUUUUACACUUGGUGGUGGCGCUGUUUCCUGGAAGUCUUGCAAGCAGACCAUCUUAACAAGGUCAAUUAUGGAAGCAGAACUCACAGCAUUAGACACUGCCACUGUUGAAGCAGAGUGGCUUCGUGAACUCUUGAUGGACUUACCUAUGGUUGAAAAACCAAUACCCCCUUAUCCUGAUGAACUGUGA
Molecule: ribosomal RNA, 651 nt
Filed under: Triticum aestivum (bread wheat)
Lineage: Eukaryota; Viridiplantae; Streptophyta; Magnoliopsida; Poales; Poaceae
Description: partial small subunit ribosomal RNA
Source: RNAcentral